GCUUUUUUGCAGGGGUGGCGAGGGGCCUGAGAUGAUACCCGUUGAACCUGAUCUGGAUCAUGCCAGCGAAGGGAAGUGCAAAUCCGUCUUU
Molecule: non-coding RNA, 91 nt
Filed under: Desulfomicrobium orale
Lineage: Bacteria; Pseudomonadati; Thermodesulfobacteriota; Desulfovibrionia; Desulfovibrionales; Desulfomicrobiaceae
Description: TPP sequence
Rfam family: TPP riboswitch aptamer (THI element)
About the family: Vitamin B(1) in its active form thiamin pyrophosphate (TPP) is an essential coenzyme that is synthesised by coupling of pyrimidine and thiazole moieties in bacteria. The previously detected thiamin-regulatory element, thi box was extended, resulting in a new, highly conserved RNA secondary structure, the THI element, which is widely distributed in eubacteria and also occurs in some archaea.
Source: RNAcentral